AGGAAUAUUGGACAAUGGAGGCAACUCUGAUCCAGCCAUGCCGCGUGCAGGAAGACUGCCCUAUGGGUUGUAAACUGCUUUUAUACGGGAAGAAACACCGCUACGU
This 106-nucleotide ribosomal RNA is filed under the name uncultured bacterium. Its description in RNAcentral is "partial 16S ribosomal RNA". It matches the Rfam family "Bacterial small subunit ribosomal RNA", at positions 357 to 461 of the family's 1533-position model. The record is from RNAcentral.